GACGAACGCUGGCGGCGUGCUUAACACAUGCAAGUCGAGCGGUAAGGCCCUUUCGGGGGUACGACGAGCGGCGAACGGGUGAGUAACACGUGGGUGACCUGCCCUCAGCUCUGGGAUAAGCCUGGGAAACCGGGUCUAAUACUGGAUAUGACUCCAUGACGCAUGUUGUGGGGUGGAAAGCCUUGUGCGGCUGAGGAUGGGCCCGCGGCCUAUCAGCUUGUUGGUGGGGUGAGGCCUACCAAGGCGACGACGGGUAGCCGGCCUGAGAGGGCGACCGGCCACACUGGGACUGAGACACGGCCCAGACUCCUACGGGAGGCAGCAGUGGGGAAUCUUGCGCAAUGGGCGAAAGCCUGACGCAGCGACGCCGCGUGAGGGAUGACGGCCUCGG
RNAcentral lists this ribosomal RNA (391 nucleotides) under uncultured bacterium. RNAcentral's name for it is "bacterial SSU rRNA". It matches the Rfam family "Bacterial small subunit ribosomal RNA", at positions 28 to 420 of the family's 1533-position model. The record is from RNAcentral.